UACGAAGGGGGCUAGCGUUGCUCGGAAUCACUGGGCGUAAAGCGCACGUAGGCGGCUUCUUAAGUCAGGGGUGAAAUCCUGGGGCUCAACCCCAGAACUGCCCUUGAUACUGAGGAGCUUGAGUCCGGGAGAGGUGAGUGGAACUCCGAGUGUAGAGGUGAAAUUCGUAGAGAUUCGGAAGAACACCAGUGGCGAAGGCGGCUCACUGGCCCGGUACUGAUGCUGAGGUGCGAAAGUGUGGGGAGCAAACAGG
Molecule: ribosomal RNA, 253 nt
Filed under: uncultured bacterium
Lineage: Bacteria
Description: partial 16S ribosomal RNA
Rfam family: Bacterial small subunit ribosomal RNA
Source: RNAcentral